Molecule: ribosomal RNA, 483 nt
Filed under: uncultured bacterium
Lineage: Bacteria
Description: partial 16S ribosomal RNA
Rfam family: Bacterial small subunit ribosomal RNA
Source: RNAcentral
UUGAACGCUGGCGGCAGGCCUAACACAUGCAAGUCGAGCGGAUGAAGGGAGCUUGCUCCUGGAUUCAGCGGCGGACGGGUGAGUAAUGCCUAGGAAUCUGCCUGGUAGUGGGGGAUAACGUCCGGAAACGGGCGCUAAUACCGCAUACGUCCUGAGGGAGAAAGUGGGGGAUCUUCGGACCUCACGCUAUCAGAUGAGCCUAGGUCGGAUUAGCUAGUUGGUGGGGUAAAGGCCUACCAAGGCGACGAUCCGUAACUGGUCUGAGAGGAUGAUCAGUCACACUGGAACUGAGACACGGUCCAGACUCCUACGGGAGGCAGCAGUGGGGAAUAUUGGACAAUGGGCGAAAGCCUGAUCCAGCCAUGCCGCGUGUGUGAAGAAGGUCUUCGGAUUGUAAAGCACUUUAAGUUGGGAGGAAGGGCAGUAAGUUAAUACCUUGCUGUUUUGACGUUACCAACAGAAUAAGCACCGGCUAACUUCAUG